RNAcentral lists this transfer RNA (72 nucleotides) under Megophrys sp. FH-2015. RNAcentral describes it as "tRNA-Gln". It matches the Rfam family "tRNA". From Rfam's summary of the family: Transfer RNA (tRNA) molecules are approximately 80 nucleotides in length. Lineage: Eukaryota; Metazoa; Chordata; Amphibia; Anura; Megophryidae. The record is from RNAcentral.
UAGGGGACAGUAUAAGAGGAUGUACAAAGGGUUUUGAUCUCUUAAGUGCGGGUUCGAAUCCCCCUCCCUUAA